Molecule: ribosomal RNA, 325 nt
Filed under: uncultured eukaryote
Lineage: Eukaryota
Description: partial 18S ribosomal RNA
Rfam family: Eukaryotic small subunit ribosomal RNA
Source: RNAcentral
CCCUUAGAUGUUCUGGGCUGCACGCGCGCUACACUGGUGCGUUCAGCGAGUUUAGCACCUUAACAGAUAUGUUUGGGUAAUCUUCUGAAAACGCACCGUGAUGGGGAUCGAUUAUUGUAAUUAUUAAUCGUCAACGAGGAAUUCCUAGUAAGUGUGAGUCAUCAGUUCGCGCUGAUUACGUCCCUGCCCUUUGUACACACCGCCCGUCGCUGCUACCGAUUGAGUGGUCCGGUGAAUUAUUCGGACCGGUGGACUGUGGGGAAACCCGCGGCCUGCUGGGAAGUCUUGUGAACCUUAUCACUUAGAGGAAGCAGAAGUCGUAACA